RNAcentral lists this ribosomal RNA (529 nucleotides) under uncultured bacterium. RNAcentral describes it as "bacterial SSU rRNA". It matches the Rfam family "Bacterial small subunit ribosomal RNA", at positions 986 to 1524 of the family's 1533-position model. The record is from RNAcentral.
UUGCAGAGGAAAGAUCCAGAGAUGGUGAUGCCCUUCGGGGUCUCUGUGAAGGUGCUGCAUGGUUGUCGUCAGCUCGUGCCGUGAGGUGUCGGCUUAAGUGCCAUAACGAGCGCAACCCCUUUCCCUAGUUGCCAUCGGUUUUGGCCGGGCACUCUGGGGACACUGCCUCCGCAAGGAGUGAGGAAGGUGGGGAUGACGUCAAAUCAGCACGGCCCUUACGUCCGGGGCUACACACGUGUUACAAUGGGUGAUACAGAGGGCCGGCCGCUGGCAACAUCGGUCCAAUCCUUAAAGUCAUCCUCAGUUCGGACUGGGGUCUGCAACCCGACCCCACGAAGCUGGAUUCGCUAGUAAUCGCGCAUCAGCCAUGGCGCGGUGAAUACGUUCCCGGGCCUUGUACACACCGCCCGUCAAGCCAUGAAAGCCGGGGGCGCCUGAAGUCCGUGACCGCGAGGGUCGGCCUAGGGUGAAACCGGUGAUUGGGGCUAAGUCGUAACAAGGUAGCCGUACCGGAAGGUGCGGCUGGAUC